This 502-nucleotide ribosomal RNA is filed under the name uncultured bacterium. Its description in RNAcentral is "bacterial SSU rRNA". It matches the Rfam family "Bacterial small subunit ribosomal RNA", at positions 8 to 503 of the family's 1533-position model. The record is from RNAcentral.
AGAGUUUGAUCCUGGCUCAGAUUGAACGCUGGCGGCAGGCUUAACACAUGCAAGUCGAGCGGUAACAUUUCUAGCUUGCUAGAAGAUGACGAGCGGCGGACGGGUGAGUAAUGCUUGGGAAUAUGCCUUUGAGUGGGGGACAACAGUUGGAAACGACUGCUAAUACCGCAUAACGUCUACGGACCAAAGGGGGGGAUCUUCGGACCUCUCGCUCAUUGAUUAGCCCAAGUGAGAUUAGCUAGUUGGUAAGGUAAUGGCUUACCAAGGCGACGAUCUCUAGCUGGUUUGAGAGGAUGAUCAGCCACACUGGGACUGAGACACGGCCCAGACUCCUACGGGAGGCAGCAGUGGGGAAUAUUGCACAAUGGGCGAAAGCCUGAUGCAGCCAUGCCGCGUGUGUGAAGAAGGCCUUCGGGUUGUAAAGCACUUUCAGUUGUGAGGAAAGGGGUGUAGUUAAUAGCUGCAUCCUGUGACGUAACAACAGAAGAAGCACCGCUAACUU